Molecule: ribosomal RNA, 458 nt
Filed under: uncultured bacterium
Lineage: Bacteria
Description: partial 16S ribosomal RNA
Rfam family: Bacterial small subunit ribosomal RNA
Source: RNAcentral
CCUACGGGUGACAGCAGUGAGGAAUAUUGGUCAAUGGGCGAGAGCCUGAACCAGCCAAGUCGCGUGAGGGAGUACUGCCCUAUGGGUUGUAAACCUCUUUUGUCGGGGAGCAAAAGCCGGACGUGUCCGGCUGUGAGAGUACCCGAAGAAAAAGCAUCGGCUAACUCCGUGCCAGCAGCCGCGGUAAUACGGAGGAUGCGAGCGUUAUCCGGAUUUAUUGGGUUUAAAGGGUGCGCAGGCGGAUUUUUAAGUCAGCGGUAAAAUCGUGGGGCUCAACCCCAUCCAGCCGUUGAAACUGGGGAUCUAGAGUGUGCGAGAGGUAUGCGGAAUGCGUGGUGUAGCGGUGAAAUGCAUAGAUAUCACGCAGAACCCCGAUUGCGAAGGCAGCAUACCGGUGCACAACUGACGCUCAGGCACGAAAGCGUGGGUAUCGAACAGGAUUAGAUACCCCUGUAGUC